Molecule: ribosomal RNA, 305 nt
Filed under: uncultured bacterium
Lineage: Bacteria
Description: bacterial SSU rRNA
Rfam family: Bacterial small subunit ribosomal RNA
Source: RNAcentral
UUCCUACGGGGGGCAGCAGUGGGGAAUAUUGCACAAUGGGGGAAACCCUGAUGCAGCAACGCCGCGUGAGUGAAGAAGUCAUUCGUGAUGUAAAGCUCUAUCAGCAGGGAAGAAAAUGACGGUACCUGAGUAAGAAGCCCCGGCUAACUACGUGCCAGCAGCCGCGGUAAUACGUAGGGGGCAAGCGUUAUCCGGAAUUACUGGGUGUAAAGGGAGCGUAGACGGUGAUGCAAGUCUGGAGUGAAAGGCGGGGGCCCAACCCCCGGACUGCUCUGGAAACUGUAUGACUUGAGUGCAGGAGAGGG